This 433-nucleotide ribosomal RNA is filed under the name uncultured bacterium. RNAcentral describes it as "partial 16S ribosomal RNA". It matches the Rfam family "Bacterial small subunit ribosomal RNA", at positions 29 to 507 of the family's 1533-position model. The record is from RNAcentral.
AACGAACGCUGGCGGCAUGCCUAACACAUGCAAGUCGAACGAGACCUUCGGGUCUAGUGGCGCACGGGUGCGUAACGCGUGGGAACCUGCCCUUAGGUUCGGAAUAACUCCCCGAAAGGGGUGCUAAUACCGGAUAAUGUCUUCGGACCAAAGAUUUAUCGACUUUGGAUGGGCCCGCGUUGGAUUAGCUAGUUGGUAGGGUAAAAGCCUACCAAGGCGACGAUCCAUAGCUGGUCUGAGAGGAUGAUCAGCCACCCUGGGACUGAGACACGGCCCAGACAGCCACGCGAGACAGUAGUCGGAACUAUUGAAGACUGGACGAGAACCUGACCGGGCAAUGCCGCGGGGGUGAUAAAAGACUUAGGGUUGGAAAGCUCUUUUACCCCGGAUGUAGAUGACAGGACCGGGGUAAUCAGCUCCGGCUAACUCCGUG